This is a non-coding RNA of Rattus norvegicus (Norway rat), 637 nucleotides long. NCBI's taxonomy places the organism in Eukaryota, Metazoa, Chordata, Mammalia, Rodentia, Muridae. The record is from RefSeq and is a predicted model, not a curated record.
GAAGACAGAUGGCUCUGUUGGAUUUAGCACCAUAGAAGAUUCUAGUAACCUUGGCAAAGGGAAAGUUUGGUAGAAUAAUAGGAGCAGGUAAAUGAAAAGGAUGUGAAGACAGGAAGCAGGGAGAGGAGAUUACCGGAAACAGGAAGAAGAGAGUGAAGUGGGACUAGGGAAGGAACUCUUCACGAUGCCCCAUGUUGUAGGAUGCCGGUGACAGUGGGCUGAGAUGCGCUCCAGAGGCUGCUGACAGAAUCCACAAGGAAACCCUGCAAGAUGGAGGAAGGGGUCUCUAAACAGGUGGACUUAGGGAGGGGUUCCCUCCAUUGCAUCCAGGAAGAAAUGCCGGGGUACAGAUCUUCUCACAAGCGUUGUGCCUCCAUAUCCUCAUCCCAGGCAAGCACGUGGACCAAAGCAGACAGGUUUCACGGGCUGGAGAGAUGGCUCAGCGGUUAAGAGCACCCAACUACUCUUCUAGAGAUCCUGAGUUCAGUUCCCAGCAACCACAUGGUGGCUCACAACCAUCUGUAAAGGGAUCUGAUGCCCUCUUCUGGUGUAUCUGAAGACAGCUACAGUGUACUUAUAUAUAAUAAGUGAAUAAAUCUUUAAAAAAAAAAAAUAAAAUAAAGACAGGUUUCACUGU